This 481-nucleotide unclassified non-coding RNA is filed under the name Hevea brasiliensis (rubber tree). The record is from RNAcentral. Lineage: Eukaryota; Viridiplantae; Streptophyta; Magnoliopsida; Malpighiales; Euphorbiaceae.
GAUCGGCGGUAGUUUACGGAGACGACGACAGCGCCGUUACAGAGCGUGACGAGGCGGCGGCAGAGAGAGUCGUAGAUGGCGCUGUUUGCGGAGGAGUGGGCAAAGCUUCCGCCGUGGAAGAAGAUAAUGACCGGGAAGGGGUCCUGCGACGGGGGGCGGCGGAGCUCGGCAAGGAGGGCGGGGGCGGAGAGCGGGGCCUGGGCAUCGUCGGCGGGGCGGUAGAUGCGGGCGAGGAGGCUGGUUGGGCGGUCGAUGAUGAGGUCGAAGGAGCGGACACCGUUGACAGCGGCGGCAUUCGCAGGCACCUUCCGGUCCAGAAACUCAGCGAGAUGGCGGUCGAAGGUACCGUCAGGGCGGCGUAGCAUGUUGUAGGCGACCUUGAAGUUGGAGAUCAGCACCCAUGUGUUGAGUGGCACAGCCAUCUUGGAUUCGUUGGCAUUGACUUCGUUACCACCGGCCAUCUGAAACUGGUAGCAGCAAG